UGGGGAGUCGCCAAGUCCGGCAAGGCACCGGGUUUUGGUCCCGGCAUUCGCAGGUUCGAAUCCUGCCUCCCCAG
RNAcentral lists this transfer RNA (74 nucleotides) under Desulfurellaceae bacterium. Its description in RNAcentral is "tRNA-Gln". It matches the Rfam family "tRNA". From Rfam's summary of the family: Transfer RNA (tRNA) molecules are approximately 80 nucleotides in length. Lineage: Bacteria; Pseudomonadati; Campylobacterota; Desulfurellia; Desulfurellales; Desulfurellaceae. The record is from RNAcentral.